This 357-nucleotide ribosomal RNA is filed under the name uncultured Desulfosporosinus sp. Its description in RNAcentral is "bacterial SSU rRNA". It matches the Rfam family "Bacterial small subunit ribosomal RNA", at positions 1027 to 1382 of the family's 1533-position model. The record is from RNAcentral. Lineage: Bacteria; Bacillati; Bacillota; Clostridia; Eubacteriales; Desulfitobacteriaceae.
CGGUGGUACAGGUGGUGGCGAUGGUUGUCGUCAGCUCGUGUCGUGAGAUGUUGGGUUAAGUCCCGCAACGAGCGCAACCCCUACUUGUUAGUUGCCAUCAUUCAGUUGGGCACUCUAGCGAGACUGCCGGUAAUAAACCGGAGGAAGGUGGGGAUGACGUCAAAUCAUCAUGCCCCUUAUGUUCUGGGCUACACACGUGCUACAAUGGCCGGUACAGACGGACGCAAAGCCGCGAGGUGGAGCAAAUCCUAAAAAGCCGGUCUCAGUUCGGAUUGCAGGCUGCAAUUCGCCUGCAUGAAGUCGGAAUCGCUAGUAAUCGCAGGUCAGCAUACUGCGGUGAAUACGUUCCCGGGCCUU